CAGUCGCCGCGGUAAUACGAAGGGUGCAAGCGUUACUCGGAAUUACUGGGCGUAAAGCGUGCGUAGGUGGUGGUUUAAGUCCGUUGUGAAAGCCCUGGGCUCAACCUGGGAAUUGCAGUGGAUACUGGGUCACUAGAGUGUGGUAGAGGAUAGUGGAAUUUCCGGUGUAGCAGUGGAAUGCGUAGAGAUCGGAAGGAACAUCUGUGGCGAAGGCGACUAUCUGGGCCAACACUGACACUGAGGCACGAAAGCGUGGGGAGCAAACAGGAUUAGAUACCCGAGUAGUCCCUGUUUCUUAUAC
RNAcentral lists this ribosomal RNA (301 nucleotides) under uncultured bacterium. RNAcentral describes it as "partial 16S ribosomal RNA". It matches the Rfam family "Bacterial small subunit ribosomal RNA", at positions 509 to 807 of the family's 1533-position model. The record is from RNAcentral.